RNAcentral lists this ribosomal RNA (858 nucleotides) under Microbacterium dextranolyticum. RNAcentral's name for it is "bacterial SSU rRNA". It matches the Rfam family "Bacterial small subunit ribosomal RNA", at positions 9 to 873 of the family's 1533-position model. The record is from RNAcentral. Lineage: Bacteria; Bacillati; Actinomycetota; Actinomycetes; Micrococcales; Microbacteriaceae.
AGAGUUUGAAUUCUGGCUCAGGAUGAACGCUGGCGGCGUGCUUAACACAUGCAAGUCGAACGGUGAAGCCCAGCUUGCUGGGUGGAUCAGUGGCGAACGGGUGAGUAACACGUGAGCAAUCUGCCCCUGACUCUGGGAUAAGCGCUGGAAACGGCGUCUAAUACUGGAUACGAACCGUGGAGGCAUCUUCAACGGUUGGAAAGAUUUUUUGGUCAGGGAUGAGCUCGCGGCCUAUCAGCUUGUUGGUGAGGUAAUGGCUCACCAAGGCGUCGACGGGUAGCCGGCCUGAGAGGGUGACCGGCCACACUGGGACUGAGACACGGCCCAGACUCCUACGGGAGGCAGCAGUGGGGAAUAUUGCACAAUGGGCGAAAGCCUGAUGCAGCAACGCCGCGUGAGGGAUGACGGCCUUCGGGUUGUAAACCUCUUUUAGCAGGGAAGAAGCGAAAGUGACGGUACCUGCAGAAAAAGCGCCGGCUAACUACGUGCCAGCAGCCGCGGUAAUACGUAGGGCGCAAGCGUUAUCCGGAAUUAUUGGGCGUAAAGAGCUCGUAGGCGGUUUGUCGCGUCUGCUGUGAAAUCCCGAGGCUCAACUUCGGGUCUGCAGUGGGUACGGGCAGACUAGAGUGCGGUAGGGGAGAUUGGAAUUCCUGGUGUAGCGGUGGAAUGCGCAGAUAUCAGGAGGAACACCGAUGGCGAAGGCAGAUCUCUGGGCCGUAACUGACGCUGAGGAGCGAAAGGGUGGGGAGCAAACAGGCUUAGACACCCUGGUAGUCCACCCCGUAAACGUUGGGAACUAGUUGUGGGGUCCAUUCCACGGAUUCCGUGACGCAGCUAACCGCAUUAAAGUUCCCCCCC